Triticum dicoccoides is the source of this 1686-nucleotide long non-coding RNA. RefSeq lists it as uncharacterized. The record is from RefSeq and is a predicted model, not a curated record. NCBI's taxonomy places the organism in Eukaryota, Viridiplantae, Streptophyta, Magnoliopsida, Poales, Poaceae. The transcript has 4 exons.
CCUGCUCUCCCCGCUGCAUCCUCUCCUUUGCACGCCGCCUCCACUCCAGCCCGCCGGCGCACUCCGUCUCCUCUCCCCAACAUGGCCUCGCCUCGCCUCAUGGCCAACCCCGCCGGUGUUCCGUAGAUGGACUCUACCGCCUCCGUGCCCCGACGUAGAUCAAGCCGUGAGCUGCUGGAUGUGAUGCGGGGCGGGCAUCUCGGAGCGGACCGAGAUCCACUGCGUGUACGUGGGGAGGACGCUUCGACCUGGAGCUCCAUGGUGUCCCACAACCACGAGCACCUCAGGUUCAGUCAGCACCAGAUUGAGGAGAGUCGCGCCGUCGUCAAGGGCCAUGGAACUCGGGACGCCGCCGCCCUGCCCCCGCUCCGACGCCAUCAAGCAUCACCAACUCAGCUUGAUGUAGGGGGAGGAUGCUUCUUCUUCUUGGGACGUCGGGUUGUCGUGGAAGGUCUCCCUUUUCCUCCCUCUCCUCGUUUCGAUUUGGUACGGUGCUAGAUUUGGUUCCCUUCCCUCCCUGAUGCGGUUCCACACGCCUCUCUCUAACAUCACAUUGCUAGCAUAGAUUACUCAACAUCUACUGCCAUUUAAAAAAACUUUACAUGAAAGAAAAUGAAAGGGGUUCAAAGUCUGCGGAGCAAUUUGGCAUUCGAGGACAUCUUCAAGUCAGAAGAGAAGUAAUGUACUGAAGUUCAGUCAAUCUAAGGAUAGCAAUUAACUGUAAGUCAAUCUUAGGAUAGCAUUCGCCUGCAAAUAUGUGUACACAUACUCCUGUUUGAAUAGCAACAACACCAUGGUGGCCUGUUUCAAAAUUUCACUAAUGGAUGUAAUUUUUUUACUCAAAAGAAGCACAAGCUUACCAGAUCUCUAUAGGAAGGUAUCUGCUCAGGGAGCAACAUGAGGCUUGAAGUGGCGCUCAUCACCCAGUAUGAUGGGAAGACUCAAUGACAGAGUCGACAUUAUUGACAUUUUCCUUGUUAGAAACGGCACUAUGGGGUGUUUUUAAUGAAUUUGGACCAUGAAAUGGAGUCUCAUCGGACAUCAUCACAUCAACAGUGGCAGGCUGGAAGUACUCCGAUGUCGACCAAUGUCCUUGAGAUGGUGCGGCCACCAGGGUGAGGACGGUGUGGACACCGAAGCUAGGGCGGCGCGUCGGGAUGGCGCCAGGUUUCCUUGAGACGGCGGCCAGCGGGUCGAGGACGUUAUGGACACCAGAUCUAGGGCAGGUCGUCGGGACGGCGCCAGGUUUCCUCGAGACGGCACCUGCUAGCGCAGUGGCAGGCUGGAAGUACUCCGAUGUCGACCAAUGUCCUUGAGAUGGUGCGGCCACCAGGGCGAGGACGGUGUGGACACCGAAGCUAGGGCGGCGCGUCGGGACGGCGCCAGGUUUCCUCGAGACGGCGGCCAGCGAGUCGAGGACGUUAUGGACACCAGAUCUAGGGCAGGUAGUCGGGACGGCACCAGGUUUCCUCGAGACUACACCUACUAGGGCAGGUUCAUGGCCUGGUGGCGGUGUUUUUUUUUUUCCGUUUAGUUGUUGGUGGCGGCGUUGAUCACGGACGUGCUGUUUAAUUUCGUGGGCUCCCAUCGUUGGGUUGUCUAGCAUCCCAAGCGGGGAGUCUGCCGGCAGAACAUUUAUUUUGAACCAUAGAUCUGAUUGUAGUAUGGUGAAUGUAACGUGGACAG